Molecule: RNA transcript, 1395 nt
Organism: Pecten maximus
Lineage: Eukaryota; Metazoa; Mollusca; Bivalvia; Pectinida; Pectinidae
Exons: 3
Source: RefSeq, a predicted model, not a curated record
GCCGUGCUUACAACCUGAUAUGUACCAAAAUGUACAUAAAUGUAAAUGAAUGAAAUGGCUAUAUAUAUAAGAUAAAUACACUAUAUACUUGCAAAAUUAUUUAGAUUUAGUGUCUGUGAUUUAUCAGUUUGGUUACAAGUGUAACUUCGAGUGGAACUUCAUUACGAACCUGAAGAUUUGUUAAGUUGAUUAGCAGUAUAUCCCUCAGAACUUUCCGUAAGCAAUGCCAAAAUGCCUCGUUCGACUCGCUAUCGCGGCCUCCUUUGUUCUCUUCCAUGUUUCCAACUAGUUGCCGAUAUGUAUAUGAUUUUUUGAUAUGACGUUCGCUAUCUUGUCGUAUCCAGUUGAUCGCUUACUGUGGAGCCGUGUACGCCAUUUUCGUUUCUGUUCGUGAACAUGUCCGCGCAUGCUCGUAUUGAUAGUCGUUUGCGGCGAUUUACUUUCGCACUGUUGGUCGAAGUGACAUUUUCAAAAAAAAAAUAUUUCUAAGAACUUUGGGUUACCUUUAGGCUUUGAGCGUUGUAAUACAGUUAUUUUUAUAACUUUUACUAGGUGAGAAAAAUACAAGAUUCCCAUUUACUUUUGUUUUUAUAGCAUAAUAUAAUUUCAAUGACGGAAUGCCCCUUUGAGGCAAAAUAUACUGGGUCAGCAUUUGAUUUUACUAAUUGUCUUUUACAAGCAGUGUUUUGAUUGGUAAAAUCAGACAAAAUGUGAUAUUUUCCACCAGUGAAAAAUGAUCACUUUUAUAUGAUGAAUAGUUUUUGAUAUUCGAUUGGUAUAAAAAUUAUUUGAACAAUGUCGCUGAUUUUGUUUUCCAAUUAAUUACAGCAAGCACUACCACGACCACUAUAACUACAGUUACACCACGAGUUUGUGAAUAUGGCUGGAUCUCGUCACCGGAAAAGUGUUACUUUUUCUCAUAUGAUUCCGAUAAAAGAGAAUGGGCCCCAGCAGUUGACCGAUGCAAGGAAAUGGGAGCGAACCUGGUAGAGGUCAAAACGGAUAAAGAAGCUCAAUUCCUUGUAGACAACUUUGCAGGUAACAUUGGUCCCUUUGAUUGGGUAUACACUGGACGGAGGAGGAAUGAUGAAUACGUUUGGGUUUUCCUCAGCAACGAUGAGAGAGUGGAUACAUCUGUGAGGUCAUGGGCUUACAAUGCACCAUCCGGAGAGACUUGCGGGUGUGCAAAGAAAGCGAACAGAUUUCUGAUGCAAGACUGUGUAUGUAACGGAUACGAUCUCUAUUUCAUCUGCGAAAUUUUGCGCUAGGAACACUCUGCUGUGAAUGCCUUAUCUUAAAAGUGAAGUUUUCCGCUACACAUGGACAUAUCUGUUAAAGAACAUGAAUGUGUUGAACAUAAGAAGCUUGGCAUUAAAAUUGGUAUUAAUAUAUAAA